RNAcentral lists this long non-coding RNA (717 nucleotides) under Zea mays. RNAcentral describes it as "drought responsive lncRNA". Lineage: Eukaryota; Viridiplantae; Streptophyta; Magnoliopsida; Poales; Poaceae. The record is from RNAcentral.
UUUCUCCUCACCCUCACUUAACACUUUCCCCUCCCCGAACCCUCUCUUCCUCCAUCCCAUCCCAAAUCCGGCGAGAGUGAGGGAGAGAGCAUGGCAGAGUGGUGGCGCGGCCCACACGACAUCUCAUCGGUGCAGACACACUUAUGAGGGUGGGCGCACUACUAUCAAGCAGUCUCGUGGUGGUGUCCUAAAGACCCGUGGGGGCAUGCACCCGCGAGACCGGUAGCCACACCGCCUCUUUCCAUGGUCGUCAACGUGCUCGACAAUCAAAAUAAUGUCAUUGAGCCUCUUCAUUUGUUUGCUUGGGUGAGUGCGGUUUGAGGAUCUUAGGGCUAGGAUUUGGGGAUUCGAGGGAAUUUGAGAUUUCUGACUUGAGGGUAAAAUUUGGGUUGGAAUUUAUUACAUCCUCCCUUUCCUCUAACCUGUUGUUCUAACUAACUAAAAACAUCAUGUCUUUGAUGUGUUUUUGCUCAGUAUCUUCCAAAUCUGAAGACAUUAAAAAUGUUGAAUAGGUUCCAUCACUAUAUGGCAUUAAAUUCGAUCAAAUUCUCCGUCAUUGUGUCAUUAGAAAUGUUGAAUAGUUAGUUGAACUACAAGGAACUGUUUCGAUUGAUUGAGUGUCCCCCGUGAUGUACACCUGUUUGAUCAAAUAGAGUAAAGCCCUAUUUGUUUCGGAUUAUAAUCUCUCUAGAUUAUAUAGGCUAGCGCAAAUAAUCC